GGGGUUGUGGCUCAGAGGAAGAGCACUCUCUUAGCAUGCGUGAGGCACUGGGUUUGAUUCUCAGCCCCA
This 69-nucleotide transfer RNA is filed under the name Marmota monax (woodchuck). Its description in RNAcentral is "tRNA.Ala". The record is from RNAcentral. Lineage: Eukaryota; Metazoa; Chordata; Mammalia; Rodentia; Sciuridae.